UGGGAAACAGGUUAAUAUUCCUGUACUUGGUGUUACUGCGAAGGGGGGACGGAGAAGGCUAUGUUAGCCGGGCGACGGUUGUCCCGGUUUAAGCAUGUAGUCUGGUUAUCCAGGCAAAUCCGGAUAAUCAAGGCUGAGGUGUGAUGACUAGGCACUACGGUGCUGAAGUAACAAAUGCCCUGCUUCCAGGAAAAGCCUCUAAGCAUCAGGUAACAUCAAAUCGUACCCCAAACCG
RNAcentral lists this ribosomal RNA (235 nucleotides) under Klebsiella pneumoniae. Its description in RNAcentral is "partial 23S ribosomal RNA". It matches the Rfam family "Bacterial large subunit ribosomal RNA", at positions 1419 to 1656 of the family's 2925-position model. Lineage: Bacteria; Pseudomonadati; Pseudomonadota; Gammaproteobacteria; Enterobacterales; Enterobacteriaceae. The record is from RNAcentral.